This is a long non-coding RNA of Vicia villosa (hairy vetch), 1143 nucleotides long. RefSeq lists it as uncharacterized. Lineage: Eukaryota; Viridiplantae; Streptophyta; Magnoliopsida; Fabales; Fabaceae. The transcript has 3 exons. The record is from RefSeq and is a predicted model, not a curated record.
AAAAAAACCCAUUUUCAGUAAACUCAUUUUCAAAUUUUUUUUGAACUCUGCAGUUUGAUUUCACGAAACUCAUAGCGAGAUUAAAGUUUGAUUUUACGAAACCCAUUUUCACGAAGUUUGCAGAAGAUUGCAAAACCUGUCACCGUUUCCUUCACUCUCAUUUCGAAAUUCGAACACUGAAACUCUUAUUUUAGGGUUCUUGUUGAGGGUAAGUCAUGGUGGCAAUUUUGUUCACUGCAAUUGGGGAAGUUGAGGGACAAAUUGAGUCGUGUUACGAUGAGAAAUUACCGGGAUCGGGAGAAAAAGAGAAACACAACGCUUCUGGAUUGAGUGGGUCUUUUCCUUUGCUUCUCUAAUAGUCAUAAGAUGUAGUGGUGACUUAUUUUUUCGAAUGAUGAGCUUUGUCCUCUUAACAUUUGUGGUCCAUCUUAAGGAGGAUAGUCGAAAAGUUACUAUAGUAGAAAAGGAUAACAAUUUUGACGUGUGUAGGGAUAUGAGUGGGCGGAGAUUGAGACAUGCUAAUGCUGACAAGAGGUUGGAGGAAUGGAGAGAUGGUGAUGGUGAGGAGGAUAUGAAGCUUGAGAAGGUUGAUGAGGAUUUUCUGAAGAAACAUAUUAAGAAAUUGAAGAUAUGGUAAGCCAUCUCAUCUUAUCUUAGUUUUGUUUUCGUAUUUCUCAAUUAUUAAACGGUAUUGAUUUUUAAGAUUAUUAUGAAGGCAGUGGUUAACAAAAUAAGAUAGUGUAUGUUUGGUUGUAGUUACGGAGAAACUGAUUUUAUCUCCGUUCGUACUCUUCACCGCCGGUUGAACGGUAACCCUCUUUCUCUCAUCUAUUUUGUUUACAGUGCCAUCUAUUUCUUCAACGAGAGAAAUGAUUUUUCCCAGUUUUCUAAGAUUUUUAGUUUAAUUAUAUUAGAUUUAUUGACUGAAAUUUGAAUCUGCUAGUUUUGUAAGAUUAGAUUUAUGGACCGAAAUUUGAAUCCCCUAUUGAAUUUCAAUUGAUUUUAGUGAAAUUUAUAUGAACCCUACAUUGUGAUAAUGCUUUGAUGAUAUGAGAAGAGUAAGAAUGUUUAUCUGUUGUUUUGGAUGUGAUGAUUCAGAGAUUUGCAAAAAGAGAAGAAAAAAUGAGUCGGGUUGUAAUUUCA